GUGGGUGUAGCUCAGUGGUAAACCACAUGCUUAGCAUGCAUGAAGUCCUGGGUUCAAUCCCCAGCACCUUCA
This 72-nucleotide transfer RNA is filed under the name Camelus bactrianus (Bactrian camel). It matches the Rfam family "tRNA". Rfam says of the family: Transfer RNA (tRNA) molecules are approximately 80 nucleotides in length. Their secondary structure includes four short double-helical elements and three loops (D, anti-codon, and T loops). RNAcentral also lists the same sequence under 2 other names. Lineage: Eukaryota; Metazoa; Chordata; Mammalia; Artiodactyla; Camelidae. The record is from Rfam by way of RNAcentral.